Molecule: ribosomal RNA, 403 nt
Filed under: Verrucomicrobiota bacterium
Lineage: Bacteria; Pseudomonadati; Verrucomicrobiota
Description: Verrucomicrobia bacterium partial 16S ribosomal RNA
Rfam family: Bacterial small subunit ribosomal RNA
Source: RNAcentral
UGGGGAAUAUUGCACAAUGGGGGAAACCCUGAUGCAGCAACGCCGCGUGAACGAUGAAGGUCUUCGGAUCGUAAAGUUCUGUUGCAGGGGAAGAUAAUGACGGUACCCUGUGAGGAAGCCCCGGCUAACUACGUGCCAGCAGCCGCGGUAAUACGUAGGGGGCUAGCGUUAUCCGGAUUUACUGGGCGUAAAGGGUGCGUAGGUGGUCUUUCAAGUCGGUGGUUAAAGGCUACGGCUCAACCGUAGUUAGCCUCCGAAACUGGAAGACUUGAGUGCAGGAGAGGAAAGUGGAAUUCCCAGUGUAGCGGUGAAAUGCGUAGAUAUUGGGAGGAACACCAGUAGCGAAGGCGGCUUUCUGGACUGAAACUGACACUGAGGCACGAAAGCGUGGGUAGCAAACAGG